RNAcentral lists this unclassified non-coding RNA (178 nucleotides) under Rhizophagus sp. (in: glomeromycetes). RNAcentral describes it as "Rhizophagus sp. (in: Fungi) partial internal transcribed spacer region". The stretch from base 1 to 46 matches the Rfam family "Eukaryotic small subunit ribosomal RNA", at positions 1786 to 1831 of the family's 1831-position model. Lineage: Eukaryota; Fungi; Glomeromycota; Glomeromycetes; Glomerales; Glomeraceae. The record is from RNAcentral.
AAGUCGUAACAAGGUUUCCGUAGGUGAACCUGCGGAAGGAUCAUUACCGAUUUUAGCGAACCUGACCUUCGGUUAUGGUAUCGCGAAAACAUUGUAUUUAAAACCCCACUCAUAAAAAAAAAAAUUUUUAUAUAUAAAUAAAUAAAGAUCACUUUCAACAACGGAUCUCUUGGCUCUC